This 253-nucleotide ribosomal RNA is filed under the name uncultured bacterium. RNAcentral describes it as "partial 16S ribosomal RNA". It matches the Rfam family "Bacterial small subunit ribosomal RNA", at positions 524 to 776 of the family's 1533-position model. The record is from RNAcentral.
UACGUAGGGUGCAAGCGUUGUCCGGAAUUAUUGGGCGUAAAGAGCUCGUAGGCGGUUUGUCGCGUCUGCUGUGAAAACGCGAGGCUCAACCUCGCGCCUGCAGUGGGUACGGGCAGACUAGAGUGCGGUAGGGGAGAUUGGAAUUCCUGGUGUAGCGGUGGAACGCGCAGAUAUCAGGAGGAACACCGAUGGCGAAGGCAGAUCUCUGGGCCGUAACUGACGCUGAGGAGCGAAAGCGUGGGGAGCGAACAGG